GAUGAACGCUGGCGGCGUGCCUAAUACAUGCAAGUCGAGCGAACAGACGAGGAGCUUGCUCCUCUGACGUUAGCGGCGGACGGGUGAGUAACAAGUGGAUAACCUACCUAUACGACUGGGAUAACUUCGGGAAACCGGAGCUAAUAACGGAUAAUAUAUUGAACCGCAUGGUUCAAUAGUGAAAGACGGUUUUGCUGUCACUUAUAGAUGGAUCCGCGCCGCAUUAGCUAGUUGGUAAGGUAACGGCUUACCAAGGCAACGAUGCGUAGCCGACCUGAGAGGGUGAUCGGCCACACUGGAGCUGCGACACGGUCCAGACUCCUACGGGAGGCAGCAGUAGGGAAUCUUCCGCAAUGGGCGAAAGCUUGACGGAGCAACGCCGCGUGAGUGAUGAAGGUCUUCGGAUCGUAGAACUCUGUUAUUAGGGAAGAACAAAUGUGUAAGUAACUAUGCACGUCUUGACGGUACCUAAUCAGAAAGCCACGGCUAACUACGUG
RNAcentral lists this ribosomal RNA (497 nucleotides) under uncultured bacterium. RNAcentral's name for it is "partial 16S ribosomal RNA". It matches the Rfam family "Bacterial small subunit ribosomal RNA", at positions 28 to 507 of the family's 1533-position model. The record is from RNAcentral.